UAACACCGGCGGCCCGAGUGGUAGCCGCUAUUAUUGGGUCUAAAGGGUCCGUAGCCGGUUCGAUAAGUCCUCUGGGAAAUCUGGUUGCUUAACAAUCAGACUGCCAAGGGAUACUGUCGAACUUGAGACCGGGAGAGGUAAGAGGUACUUCAGGGGUAGGAGUGAAAUCUUGUAAUCCCUGGGGGACCAUCUGUGGCGAAGGCGUCUUACCAGAACGGGUCUGACGGUGAGGGACGAAAGCUGGGGGCGCAAACCGGAUUAGAUACCCGGGUAGUCCCAGCCGUAAACGAUGCUCGCUAUGUGUCAGGUACGGUGUGACCGUAUCUGGUGCCGUAGGGAAGCCGCGAAGCGAGCCACCUGGGAAGUACGGUCGCAAGACUG
RNAcentral lists this ribosomal RNA (381 nucleotides) under uncultured Methanobacteria archaeon. Its description in RNAcentral is "bacterial SSU rRNA". It matches the Rfam family "Archaeal small subunit ribosomal RNA", at positions 471 to 851 of the family's 1478-position model. Lineage: Archaea; Methanobacteriati; Methanobacteriota; Methanobacteria. The record is from RNAcentral.